UGAGGAAUAUUGGGCAAUGCCCGCAAGGGUGACCCAGCAACGCCGCGUGGAGGAUGAAUGUCGUAAGAUUGUAAACUCCUGUUAGAGGGGAAGAAUAGUACCGGUUGGACCGGUAUAUGACUGUACCCUCAGAGAAAGCCCCGGCUAACUACGUGCCAGCAGCCGCGGUAAUACGUAGGGGGCAAGCGUUGUCCGGCUUUACUGGGCGUAAAGGGCGCGCAGGCGGGAUAAAAAGUCAGUGGUGAAAUCCUACAGCUUAACUGUAGAACUGCCUUUGAUACUUUUAUUCUUGAGUUCGGGAGAGAGAGACGGAAUUCCAGGUGUAGUGGUGAAAUACGUAGAUAUCUGGAAGAACACCAGUUGCGAAGGCGGUCUCUUGGUCCGACACUGACGCUGAGGCGCGAAAGCGUGGGGAGCAAACA
Molecule: ribosomal RNA, 422 nt
Filed under: uncultured bacterium
Lineage: Bacteria
Description: bacterial SSU rRNA
Rfam family: Bacterial small subunit ribosomal RNA
Source: RNAcentral